RNAcentral lists this long non-coding RNA (6297 nucleotides) under Homo sapiens (human). Its description in RNAcentral is "HSALNT0167863". Lineage: Eukaryota; Metazoa; Chordata; Mammalia; Primates; Hominidae. The record is from RNAcentral.
AUUUACAAACCGCGACAUUCAUUCUAUGAUUCUUACCUUUUGUAGAGUAUUUCAGAUGGUCUGUGUGCAUCAGACUAAGUUUAUAUAAAUUUCCUUCUGAAUGUGUACAAAUAUAUAUAUGUUUCUUUCUCUGUACCAGUACUUAAGUCUAUAUGGACCUGCAUCUGUAGAUCUCUGGAUCUCUUUCCUAUGUGUGAUCUCUGUGUGUGUCGGGGCGGGGAGGGGGGGGUGUGUAUUACUAUAAGCAUGGUGUUUACUUCUUUGUGUCUUGUCUAUGUUUGCAUUUGUCAAUGUCCAUAGUGGUUCUGAGUACUUGCAUGAAUGUUUGUGUUAAAAAAGACAAGGUUGAGCAACUUUAAUUGGGCCCAUUACUGUUACUAAAUUGUUUAAAUAGGCCUGGUGGAAAACAUGGACCAAUAAUUUUGAAUUCUGAUUUUUUUUUCACACUAAGACCCAUACCUUACUUAAUUGGGUUUAGGCGACCCUAGUCAUAAGCAUUUUUAAAACAUUCCAGGUGAUGAGUCUAACGCGCAAUUCUAUACCAGUAAAGUUGCUAGAGCACUGCCAUCCUUUUGGAAAUCCGCAACCUGCUUUCCUUAAAUUUAGUAUUAAUUACAUCACAGUGGGGAGAGAGGUUAAUUUGGAUUCUUUAUUGGAUAUAAAAGAGAACUUAUCCUCUCCUUUCCUGUGGAGCAGGGUAUUAUCCCAAGAGACUGAAGCCUGUAAGAUAACCCCUAAAUUAACCUAUGAAAACAGCUGAAAAGGAAUUCCCCUCCCAACCCAAUCCUCCUUCCAUUCCAGCAGAUACCUGUUUCCUUUUAUGAGUACAUCUGUCUAAUUCUGUCUAAUUAAGCAGAUGUAUUGCUGCCUUAAUUUCCAUAUAAAUUCUUCAGAGCCUCUGUGGGAGUUUGGUAAACCCAAAGAAGAUUUAUUAGUAUAAUAAACAAAAUGUUUUAUUUGCGGGGGAAAAAAGUAUAUUUGCAAUAUUCCUUCCACGGGGAGGGUCAGGCAAGAGAAAUUAUCUCAGUUAAAUAUGGAAUCUAAAAAAGUGAAACUUAUAGAAGCAGAGGGUAGAAAGGUGGUAGCCAGCAGCUGCAGGGGCACUGCGGGGAUGGCCAAAAGGUACAAGAUUUCAGUUACAAGAUGAAUAAGUUCUGGGGAUCAAAUGUACAAGCAUGAGUACCGGUAGAUUGGGUUAAUUUCAUUGUGAUGAUCAUUGUACAAUGUAUACAAUAUCUAAUCAUCACAUUGAAUAUACAUAAUCUUUGUCAAAAAAUUUAAAAUUUUUGAAAGAGAAAAUACAAAAGGUGGUGCAGAUUAGAGAUCUAAAGUUAAGGGAGGGGGAAAAUCCAGGAAGAAGGAAGAAGAAAAAUAAAACCUCAGAUAUGUAAAGCUUGAAAGAAAGGGACACACAUGGACAAUCAAGAAACUUUAUAAACGUUAGCAGGGGAAAUGGGCCCCUUCCUUCAGGCUGCAGACUCCAUUUGCAGUACGGAUGAGAGGAGACUUUGGAGUGAGAGACUGUCUGGCUGCUGACUUUUUACUAAACCUACCACCACCAAUCACACUCCGUGGAGAUCUCUCAGAUACUGAGGAUUUGAAUUCUGACAUUCGUGGUGAUGAAGAGUCAGUGGAUAGCAGACUUUCACUUACUGAGGCAAGAAAAAAAUUAAAAUUCCCAAUAUUCUCACUAUCCACUACAGCAUCUAGAAGUUUACAUGACACACAGUAAAUGCUCAGUAAAUAUCUGAGAAAUAAACUGGGGAGAGGUCUGGUUUUAACAAUCUGCUCUAUCUGAAUAGGCUGCAUAGAGGUAUCUGUCUUUAGCAGAAUGAAAGCCAAAGAAUCAAUGAGAAAAUUCUCUUAUGUCUCUAAAUUUCUUACAAGGGGACUAUUCUAUGAAAUAAAGUAAUUCUAGAAAGACCAAAAACUUAAUAAGAUAGAGGUAGAAGUAGGGACUAUGAGUCAGAGUUUAUUAGCUCGAUUUAAUAAUGUCCACUUUUAUAGAAGAACAAAGUAAGGAAACAGCUUUAUGCCACAACUUACCUAGAAACAUCAGCCAUAUUUUAAACAAUACUUUAUAGCUUCUAAAAAUAGCUCAGAUAGAGGGGUUUGGGUGGAUAAAAAUAACAACUAUCAUAUAUUGGAUUGUCCUUAUGUACUAGCACUAUGAUUUACAUGGAAGGCCCAUUUCACAUUCCCAUUUGGCUCAGUAGGUUGGUUUAGUAGAGUCGUAAUUUUAUAGGUAAGAAUGAUUAAAAUUCAAUAAGUUAAAUUUACUUGCCUAAGGUCACAAGACUAGUGAAAGAUAAUUGAUAAUUCUAACUCAGGCCAGUUGACUCUAGAACCCAUAUAAUUAACCACUACUCUGACUUUUCUUAACCUCAACAGUAUCAGGUGCCAAACAUACUUACAAUCACUGAGGUUCUGACUGACAAAAAAUUACCAAAUGUGGUGGAGAAACUUGAAUGGAGACUACUUAACAUGCGUAUGAUCCAACUUCCUUAAACAACACACACUAAGAUACUUAAGUACAGUGCAAGAUAUAUACUGUCUCUGUACAGAUCUUUGGGAAUACCUUAUAGGAAAGAUAUGAAAUUACUUUGCUUGGCAAGUUUUAAGAUAGGAAAUAAUGUCUGUCCCACAGAAUUUUAUAGCUGCCCUUGGGACUAUUAGGUUCUAUUUCUGUCAUUUUUUAAUUGAGUAACCUAUAGUCCUGAAUAAAUUUGUCCAGUAACAAAACUAGUCAAUAAUAAGAUUAGGAUGAGAAUUGAGUUCUGCAAACUCCUUAUCUACACAUCUUUUGAUGAUAUCAGCUGUUUAAUCUUCCUGAGAACUCUUUAGAAGCAGGAAGACAGAUUUGUUGACCUCACUGACCUUGACUGGACUAAAACAUCCCUUGGAUAUUUCUGUCCAUUGAUCCACAAUAAAUUCUUAAUAGGAAGACAAUGUCUUCUUGAAAUGGGAAUUAAUAGGUUCCUUUUCUCUGUACCUUGGCAUUGUUAACAUGGAAAACAGGGGUACAAGCAUUAUUCAGUUUUAUUACUUAGAAUAAAUCCUUUGGGAUAGUUUUUGUUAUUUUGACCUCUGACUUAGACUGAUAAACUUCUGAGGCAUUGGGAGGGAUGCUUAUACUCUAAUAAAAUCAAAUCUCUAUAUCAUAAUCUGCAAGAAAAAAUUCAAAAUAUAAAAUUUUUUCUAAUUUUGUUUUCCCCAAAAUAUCCCUGAAAAAAUCAAGAUUUUAGAGUUUUAUGUAGUAUUAUGGAGUCUAUUAAUCAAUCAUUAGAAAUUAGCAAAAAAAAUUGCUAAAUUGAUUCUACUUUCAAUUAGAUCCAGCUUUCAUCUCACCACCCCCUUGUUUAAUACCACUGUGGCUACUUAGCUUUAAAAUGGAACUUCAACCUAUUGGUGUAAAAUUUCCCUUGGAAAGAGGAAAAUAGAAUCUUAAGACAAUGAGGAUGAGAAACAGCAAUUUCUAGGUUAAAACUUGGCAGGUUGUAGAAGAUACUAAUCUGAAAGUGACCAUUUGAUUAAAAAAAUCAAGAACUUGUUCCUGAGGCUGGGGGCACAGAGAAUGAAGAAAGAGUUCUUUAAAUGUGAUGAAGUUUCUUCUUCAUAAAUAAAAAUGUAAGUGGAAGUCUCAACUAUUUAAACAAACAUUUUUACUACUAAUCAGAUAUGUGCAAAUUAAUUAACAGCAAGAUAUAAUUUUACAAGAGGCAAAUUAGCAAACUAUAUUUCUCAGUGAUGAUACCCCAUGCAAAUUCACAACUUUUCUUGAUCCUAUCAGGAAGAUGGAAUUGCAAGGCAAUAAGCUAGAAAAAAUGUCUAAGGAGGGGAAAAAAAACUGCAAGGAAAGACAAGAUGCAAACACUGGCUUAAGUAAGAUAGACACAAGUGGACACUGGUAAUAAGAGUUUGGUUGAAAAUUUGGUAGAAGACAGGUAUGUACUGGUGAUAAAGCUUAAUGUCCCUGAGGAUGACAGAAAUUCCAGAUGUCAAUACCCUCUUUGGGAUUUUUUUAUGUAGUUACCCCAGCAAGAGCUUACAAAAAAGACUGUAGUGAGUCCUAACAAAAUGUUUCUUGAGGUACAGGUUUGGGGGAGGGAAUAGUAACCACUGCCAGAGAAUCAUGCAACUCCAUUGGACACUGUUCUAUCUCUGUUAUGUGAGUCGUAAAAUAUAAUGGGUUGAAUAGUGACCUCUCAAAAGAUAUUCAUGCCUUAAUUCCCAAACCUAUGAAAUUAAGUCAUAUGACACAAGGUAUAAUUAAAUUAAGGGUUUUGAAAACAGAACUUUAUCUUGGAUUAUCUGGGUGGGCCCUAAAUGCAAUAACAUGUGUUCUUAUAAGAUAGACACACAGAGGAGAAGAUAGAAGAGAGGGUGAUAUCAAGACUGAGUUAGAGCUAUAAGCCUAGGAAUGCCAGGGCCAUCCCUAAAAGUUGGAAGAGGUAAAUAGUGGAUUUUUUUUUUUUUUUUUUUUUAGAGUACCCACAGGGAGCACAACCUUGCUGGAUUUUAGACUUCCAGCAUCCAGAAUUGAGAGUGAUUAUUUUGUCUUAAGCCACCAAGUCUUUGGUAAUUUUUUAGAGCAGCCUCAGGACACUGAUUCAGAGGGUAACAAACUGUGGCAACUUAAGGACACUAGUGAAAACCUAUUGCAGCUAGAGGAGGGAAACAGAUUAAAAAAAAAAAAAUCUAUCCCUGGAGUAGGGGUGGAGAAAAUGCCGAAUUAUUGGCAAGACCACACACCCAGGGCCCAUUGUGCCUGCUAAAACCAAGAAGUAAUCAGAAUAACAGGCAAUAUCCUGCAUGCCUCUCACUAGGCUAACAAGAUUCAAAUCAUAAAAAACUGGAAAAUAAUGUUGUACAAGGAUAGGAAAGGGACAUGAGUAUGAAAAAUAUCCUUUCAGAGGUGGAAUGCAAAAGCUCAGUGUGAUGUAGACUAUGAGAAAAACUAUCUGACAAAUAAGCCCCUACUCUAAACAGAAAGUUUUGCUAGAGGAAUUGAAAGCCUGUGACCCAGCAAAGAUAAUCACAUUAAUAAACUUCAAAUCCAGCCCAAAUCCCAACUAAAAAAACUCAAAUGCUUACACUGAAGUCCUAUCAGGAAGAAUGCUUUGGCCAUUUUUAGACAUAUAGUUAAUCACACAAGUCUCUACUAUUCUUAUCAAGAUAUUCACCUUUCCACAAAAAUAUGGUAUAUUAAAAAUAACACACAAAUACACAACAUAAUUCCAAAGACAAAGCAAUCAGCAUUAGCAGAAUCAGAUAUGACAUAGAUGUUGGAACCAUGCCACAGCUUCAAAACAACCAUGACUAAUAUGCUAAAGGUUCUAAAGGAGAAGGUGAACCACACGCAAAAUCAGAAGAAUUUCAGCAAGAACAAAAAGGAAAAUAUAAGAAACAUUCAAAUAUGAACAAUUCAAGUGAAAAAUACAACUGAGAAGAGGACUGCUUUUGACAGGUCAUCAGAGGACUCAGUAGUGCUGGGUAGAAAAAAAUCAAUGGCUGUAAAGUUAAUGACAUUUACAUAGCUCGAGGAGAAGGCUGGCUGCCCCACCCUAAUCUUAUUAUGUAAAUGAACUUUCCCCUUGGCCCGUGCCAUCUUGUCUGCUCCUUACUGUAUACCUGGCUGGCAAAGAAGAGAAGAUGGAGCUGCCAUUUUGAACUUGACUGGUGCAGCUGUUGGCAUCUGCGUCUGCAGCUCGACUUUACAGGCUGCUCUUUGUUAGAAAUGAAAAUGAUUCGGGGCUGCCUUUCAUUAAAAGGAAAAACUUACUGAGGACUUCGGUAUCCUCACUAUCAGCCAAAGUAAUUUCUUCUUAACUCUUGUAUCAAUAAUGAUGGGAAACUUGGAUCUGCACAACAAAAUGGCCAGCAUUGUAAAUGAAAUAAAUGAAUAUAAAAGUCAUUUUUUUAAAUUUGUAAUUGCUCUAAAAGAUAACUGGUUAUUUAGAGCUAAAAUAAUGGCAGUUAAUUUUGUGUUUUUAAUGUAUGUAAAUGUAAAAUAUGUAGUAAUAAUGGCACAAUGUAUGAAACAGAAGACUUGGGAAUAUACUGCUAUGAGCUCUUAAACUACAUGUGGAGUGGCACAAUGUUAUUUGGAGGUUGAUUCACAUUGUUUAGAAACACUAAAAAAAUUCUUGAGCAGGAAGGAUGUGUGUAUUUAUAACAUAUAUUAAAUAUUUGACAGCGAUGACACAAAUAUAGGAAGACUUGAGACUACAUAAUUGUAUGGUUCUAAAAUUACAUAUUAAAACUAUAUAACAUUAUAUGAAGGUAAUCUUCAAAUUA